CUCCGUAAUUUUCAGGAUGUCUUCGACAACGUUUACAUAGUUGUCUAUCUAUAGGAUUUAAAUGCACCUGUGUUUCGGGAAAGUGAGACCUUCAGGGAUUAUGAGCUUGUCCUAGGCAUAGGCCACAAUGCCAAGCAGUUUUUGUACAACUUAAAUAUAUGUACAUGCAUAAAUAUUAUUACUAGCUAUAGUUACUACGUCAUUUUGACUACAUACUUGUACGGAGAAGAGUCCUGAAGUGCAACGGAAGUUAACAAAGAGGACUGAAACCAACCAGUAAGUUGAUCUUGUCCUUCCAAAUAUAAAUCUGCCUUUUUUUCUGGCAAAAUUGCAGACCACGAAAUGCCACUAUCAAACCAAAUAUCCAUAAUAUCCUGUAAAAAGAAUAUAUAUUCAAUAGAUGAGCAUUUAAUAAUUAUAGCUUUUGAAA
This 430-nucleotide long non-coding RNA is filed under the name Polistes fuscatus (common paper wasp). RNAcentral describes it as "uncharacterized LOC122520539, transcript variant X1". The record is from RNAcentral. Lineage: Eukaryota; Metazoa; Arthropoda; Insecta; Hymenoptera; Vespidae.